UACGUAGGGGGCGAGCGUUGUUCGGAAUUACUGGGCGUAAAGGGCUCGUAGGCGGCCAACUAAGUCAGACGUGAAAUCCCUCGGCUUAACCGGGGAACUGCGUCUGAUACUGGAUGGCUUGAAUCCGGGAGAGGGAUGCGGAAUUCCAGGUGUAGCGGUGAAAUGCGUAGAUAUCUGGAGGAACACCGGUGGCGAAGGCGGCGUGCUGGAUCGUCUUCUGACGCUGAGGCGCGAAAGCUAGGGGAGCAAACGGG
RNAcentral lists this ribosomal RNA (254 nucleotides) under uncultured bacterium. RNAcentral's name for it is "partial 16S ribosomal RNA". It matches the Rfam family "Bacterial small subunit ribosomal RNA", at positions 524 to 776 of the family's 1533-position model. The record is from RNAcentral.